Molecule: ribosomal RNA, 423 nt
Filed under: uncultured Acholeplasma sp.
Lineage: Bacteria; Bacillati; Mycoplasmatota; Mollicutes; Acholeplasmatales; Acholeplasmataceae
Description: bacterial SSU rRNA
Rfam family: Bacterial small subunit ribosomal RNA
Source: RNAcentral
AUGAUACGCGAAGAACCUUACCAGGUCUUGACAUCCCCCGCAAUGCUAUGGAGACAUAGCGGAGGUAUUCGGGGAGACAGGUGGUGCAUGGUUGUCGUCAGCUCGUGUCGUGAGAUGUUGGGUUAAGUCCCGCAACGAGCGCAACCCUUAUUGCUAGUUACCAUCAUUGAGUUGGGGACUCUAGCGAGACUGCCAGUGAUAAACUGGAGGAAGGUGGGGAUGACGUCAAAUCAUCAUGCCCCUUAUGACCUGGGCUACAAACGUGAUACAAUGGCUGAAACAGAGGGAGGCGAAGGGGUGACCUGGAGCGAAACCCAGAAAAACAGUCUCAGUUCGGAUUGAAGUCUGCAACUCGACUUCAUGAAGUCGGAAUCGCUAGUAAUCGCGGAUCAGAACGCCGCGGUGAAUACGUUCUCGGGGUUU